AUGAACGCUAGCGACAGGCCUAACACAUGCAAGUCGAGGGGCAGCACAAGGAGCAAUCUGAGGUGGCGACCGGCGCACGGGUGAGUAACGCGUAUGCAACCUGCCUGUAAGCGGGGAAUAACCCGUUGAAAGACGGACUAAUACCGCAUAAUACUAAAUUACUGCAUGGUAAUUUAUUUAAACAUUUAUGGCUUACAGAUGGGCAUGCGCAUGAUUAGCUAGUUGGAGAGGUAACGGCUCCCCAAGGCAACGAUCAUUAGGGGUUCUGAGAGGAAGGUCCCCCACACUGGUACUGAGACACGGACCAGACUCCUACGGGAGGCAGCAGUGAGGAAUAUUGGUCAAUGGACGAGAGUCUGAACCAGCCAAGUCGCGUGCAGGAAGAAUGUCCUAAUGGAUUGUAAACUGCUUUUGCAGGGGAAUAAAGUGCAUCACGUGUGAUGUUUUGUAUGUACUCUGCGAAUAAGGAUCGGCUAACUCCGUGCCAGCAGCGGC
Molecule: ribosomal RNA, 495 nt
Filed under: uncultured bacterium
Lineage: Bacteria
Description: bacterial SSU rRNA
Rfam family: Bacterial small subunit ribosomal RNA
Source: RNAcentral